UUAAAAUAUUUAUAUUUCAUAGGAUAUCACGAGUGACAACUGCUUUGAAACUGAAGAAGAUACAGAAGUAUUUAUAUGUUACUUUUAUAUUUUUUUUUGUCUUUUUUAUUUUAUUAUGUUUGUUAAGAAAUAUUUUAACAGCUGCUUGCAAAGUAUUUUUUCUUUUAUGAUAGUCAUCAGUUUUUAGUUAUGAUGGAGAUUUUAAUGGUCAUAGAUCAGUUUUAGACUUGUCGUUUGACCAAUUUUAUUCACUUGAAAUGUAUCCAGCUUUAUCUGAAACAUUCGAGUGUUGAUUUUGUGGUAAAUAAAGGUCUACCGAAUCAGAAUUAUCUAAGAGCAGUUAUAUAUUCCACGCGGUCAUUCGAGUAAAGUCAGCAAGCAAAUUGGAGCUGAUACACUUAUUUUCAAGAAGAAUUAAUGUUGUUUAUUUUUUAAAAUAAAAAUUUAAAUAA
Hydra vulgaris (swiftwater hydra) is the source of this 452-nucleotide non-coding RNA. NCBI's taxonomy places the organism in Eukaryota, Metazoa, Cnidaria, Hydrozoa, Anthoathecata, Hydridae. The record is from RefSeq and is a predicted model, not a curated record.